This 24-nucleotide non-coding RNA is filed under the name Callithrix jacchus (white-tufted-ear marmoset). RNAcentral also lists the same sequence under 8 other names. The record is from RNAcentral. Lineage: Eukaryota; Metazoa; Chordata; Mammalia; Primates; Cebidae.
UCAGUGCAUCACAGAACUUUGUCU